GGAGAUGUGGCCGAGUGGUCUAAGGCGCCGUCUUAAGGAACAUUGGAUGUGUUCGGCGGUCUUCGGGCGUGGGUUCGAAUCCCACCGUCUUCA
RNAcentral lists this transfer RNA (93 nucleotides) under Phakopsora pachyrhizi. RNAcentral describes it as "tRNA-Leu". It matches the Rfam family "tRNA". From Rfam's summary of the family: Transfer RNA (tRNA) molecules are approximately 80 nucleotides in length. Their secondary structure includes four short double-helical elements and three loops (D, anti-codon, and T loops). The record is from RNAcentral. Lineage: Eukaryota; Fungi; Basidiomycota; Pucciniomycetes; Pucciniales; Phakopsoraceae.